Molecule: ribosomal RNA, 462 nt
Filed under: Photobacterium phosphoreum
Lineage: Bacteria; Pseudomonadati; Pseudomonadota; Gammaproteobacteria; Vibrionales; Vibrionaceae
Description: bacterial SSU rRNA
Rfam family: Bacterial small subunit ribosomal RNA
Source: RNAcentral
UUAAUUGAAGAGUUUGAUCAUGGCUCAGAUUGAACGCUGGCGGCAGGCCUAACACAUGCAAGUCGAGCGGUAACAGAAAAGAAGCUUGCUUCUUUUGCUGACGAGCGGCGGACGGGUGAGUAAUGCCUGGGAAUAUACCCUGAUGUGGGGGAUAACUAUUGGAAACGAUAGCUAAUACCGCAUAAUCUCUUCGGAGCAAAGAGGGGGACCUUCGGGCCUCUCGCGUCAGGAUUAGCCCAGGUGGGAUUAGCUAGUUGGUGGGGUAAUGGCUCACCAAGGCGACGAUCCCUAGCUGGUCUGAGAGGAUGAUCAGCCACACUGGAACUGAGACACGGUCCAGACUCCUACGGGAGGCAGCAGUGGGGAAUAUUGCACAAUGGGGGAAACCCUGAUGCAGCCAUGCCGCGUGUAUGAAGAAGGCCUUCGGGUUGUAAAGUACUUUCAGUUGUGAGGAAGGCGUUG